RNAcentral lists this ribosomal RNA (388 nucleotides) under uncultured bacterium. Its description in RNAcentral is "partial 16S ribosomal RNA". It matches the Rfam family "Bacterial small subunit ribosomal RNA", at positions 523 to 918 of the family's 1533-position model. The record is from RNAcentral.
AUACGUAGGGGACGAGCGUUGUCCGGAAUUAUUGGGCGUAAAGAGUGAGCAGGCGGUUAAUUAAGUCUGAGGUUAAAGCGUGGGGCUCAACCCCAUAAAGCCUUGGAAACUGAUUGACUAGAGUACGGGAGAAGUGAAGGGAACCCCAUGUGUAGCGGUGAAAUGCGUAGAUAUAUGGAAGAACACCAGUGGCGAAGGCGCUUCACUAGCCCGAAACUGACGCUCAGUCACGAAAGCGUGGGUAGCAAAUAGGAUUAGAUACCCUAGUAGUCCACGCUGUAAACGAUGACAACUAAAUAUUGCCGCGAGGCAGUGUUGAAGCUAACGCAUUAAGUUGUCCGCCUGGGGAGUACGGUCGCAAGACUGAAACUUAAAGGAAUUGACGGGG